GACGUAGGGCGCGAGCGUUGUCCGGAUUUAUUGGGCGUAAAGAGCUCGUAGGCGGCUUGUCGCGUCGUUCGUGAAAACCUGCAGCUCAACUGCAGGCUUGCGGUCGAUACGGGCAGGCUAGAGUUCGGUAGGGGAGACUGGAAUUCCUGGUGUAGCGGUGAAAUGCGCAGAUAUCAGGAGGAACACCGAUUGCGAAGGCAGCUCGCUGGAACGUUACUGACGCUGAGACGCGAAAGCGUGGGGAGCGAACAGG
RNAcentral lists this ribosomal RNA (253 nucleotides) under uncultured bacterium. Its description in RNAcentral is "partial 16S ribosomal RNA". It matches the Rfam family "Bacterial small subunit ribosomal RNA", at positions 524 to 776 of the family's 1533-position model. The record is from RNAcentral.